UAAAGAGUGCGUAACAGCUCACUGGUCGAGCGACAGGGCAUCGAUGAUGAUCGGGCAUUAAGUAUACCACCGAAGCUAAGGCAGUAUUUAUACUGGGUAGGGGAGCAUUCUAUUCUGCGAAGAAGGCGUCUGGUGAUGGACGUUGGAGCGUAUAGAAAAGCAAAUGUAGGCAUAAGUAACGAUAAGGCGGGUGAGAAACCCGCCCACCGAUAGACUAAGGUUUCCU
This 226-nucleotide ribosomal RNA is filed under the name Astrosyne radiata. Its description in RNAcentral is "partial Bacterial large subunit ribosomal RNA". It matches the Rfam family "Bacterial large subunit ribosomal RNA", at positions 1124 to 1356 of the family's 2925-position model. The record is from RNAcentral. Lineage: Eukaryota; Bacillariophyta; Fragilariophyceae; Cyclophorales; Cyclophoraceae.